GAUGAACGCUGGCUACAGGCUUAACACAUGCAAGUCGAGGGGUAACGAGAGGAAAGCUUGCUUUCCUUGUCGACGACCGGCGCACGGGUGAGUAACGCGUAUCCAACCUGCCCCCAACUAGGGAAUAACCUUGCGAAAGUAAGACUAAUACCCUAUAAUUUCCUCAGAUGUCAUCUGACGAGGAAUAAAGAUUUAUCGGUUGUGGAUGGGGAUGCGUCUGAUUAGCUUGUUGGCGGGGUAACGGCCCACCAAGGCAACGAUCAGUAGGGGUUCUGAGAGGAAGGUCCCCCACAUUGGGACUGAGACACGGUCCAAACUCCUACGGGAGGCAGCAGUGAGGAAUAUUGGUCAAUGGGCGGAAGCCUGAACCAGCCAAGUAGCGUGCAGGAUGACGGCCCUAUGGGUUGUAAACUGCUUUUAUACAGGAAUAAAGUUAGCCACGUGUGGUUAUUUGUAGGUACUGUAUGAAUAAGGACCGGCUAAUUCCGUGCCAGCAGCCGCAGUAA
This 506-nucleotide ribosomal RNA is filed under the name uncultured bacterium. RNAcentral's name for it is "partial 16S ribosomal RNA". It matches the Rfam family "Bacterial small subunit ribosomal RNA", at positions 28 to 523 of the family's 1533-position model. The record is from RNAcentral.